UACGUAGGGGGCAAGCGUUGUCCGGAUUUAUUGGGCGUAAAGAGCGUGUAGGCGGCCAGGUAGGUCUGCUGUGAAAACUCGAGGCUCGACCUCGAGAUGUCGGCGGAAACCAUCUGGCUAGAGUCCGGAAGAGGAGAAUGGAAUUCCCGGUGUAGCGGUGAAAUGCGCAGAUAUCGGGAAGAACACCCGUGGCGAAGGCGGUUCUCUGGGACGGUACUGACGCUGAGACGCGAAAGCGUGGGGAGCGAACAGG
Molecule: ribosomal RNA, 253 nt
Filed under: uncultured bacterium
Lineage: Bacteria
Description: partial 16S ribosomal RNA
Rfam family: Bacterial small subunit ribosomal RNA
Source: RNAcentral